UACGUAGGUGGCAAGCGUUGUCCGGAUUUAUUGGGUUUAAAGGGUGCGUAGGCGGUGACUUAAGUCAGUUGUGAAAUACGGCAGCUUAACUGUCGAGGUGCAAUUGAUACUGGGACACUUGAGUACUGAUGAGGUAAGCGGAAUGGACGGUGUAGCGGUGAAAUGCUUAGAUAUCGUCCAGAACACCGAUAGCGAAGGCAGCUUACUAAGGAGUAACUGACGCUGAGGCACGAAAGUGUGGGGAUCAAACAGG
Molecule: ribosomal RNA, 253 nt
Filed under: uncultured bacterium
Lineage: Bacteria
Description: partial 16S ribosomal RNA
Rfam family: Bacterial small subunit ribosomal RNA
Source: RNAcentral